UGGGGAAUAUUGCACAAUGGGCGAAAGCCUGAUGCAGCAACGCCGCGUGAGUGAUGAAGGCCUUCGGGUUGUAAAGCUCUGUCUUUUGGGACGAUAAUGACGGUACCAAAGGAGGAAGCCACGGCUAACUACGUGCCAGCAGCCGCGGUAAUACGUAGGUGGCAAGCGUUGUCCGGAUUUACUGGGCGUAAAGGAUGCGUAGGCGGAUUUUUAAGUGAGAUGUGAAAUACCCGGGCUUAACUUGGGUGCUGCAUUUCAAACUGGGAAUCUAGAGUGCGGGAGAGGAGAAUGGAAUUCCUAGUGUAGCGGUGAAAUGCGUAGAGAUUAGGAAGAACACCAGUGGCGAAGGCGAUUCUCUGGACCGUAACUGACGCUGAGGCAUGAAAGCGUGGGUAGCAAACAGGAUUAGAUACCCUGGUAGUCCACGCCGUAAACGAUGAGUACUAGGUGUAGGAGGUAUCGACCCCUUCUGUGCCGCAGUUAACACAAUAAGUACUCCGCCUGGGAAGUACGAUCGCAAGAUUAAAAACUUAAAGGAAUUGAC
This 544-nucleotide ribosomal RNA is filed under the name uncultured bacterium. Its description in RNAcentral is "partial 16S ribosomal RNA". It matches the Rfam family "Bacterial small subunit ribosomal RNA", at positions 355 to 914 of the family's 1533-position model. The record is from RNAcentral.